GCCUGGGUGGCUCAGUCGGUUGAGCGUCCGACUUCGGCUCAGGUCAUGAUCUCGCAGUCUGUGAGUUCAAGCCUCUCAUCAGGCU
Molecule: transfer RNA, 85 nt
Filed under: Felis catus (domestic cat)
Lineage: Eukaryota; Metazoa; Chordata; Mammalia; Carnivora; Felidae
Rfam family: tRNA
About the family: Transfer RNA (tRNA) molecules are approximately 80 nucleotides in length. Their secondary structure includes four short double-helical elements and three loops (D, anti-codon, and T loops). Further hydrogen bonds mediate the characteristic L-shaped molecular structure. tRNAs have two regions of fundamental functional importance: the anti-codon, which is responsible for specific mRNA codon recognition, and the 3' end, to which the tRNAs corresponding amino acid is attached (by aminoacyl-tRNA synthetases). tRNAs cope with the degeneracy of the genetic code in two manners: having more than one tRNA (with a specific anti-codon) for a particular amino acid; and 'wobble' base-pairing, i.e. permitting non-standard base-pairing at the 3rd anti-codon position.
Source: Rfam by way of RNAcentral